RNAcentral lists this ribosomal RNA (252 nucleotides) under uncultured bacterium. Its description in RNAcentral is "partial 16S ribosomal RNA". It matches the Rfam family "Bacterial small subunit ribosomal RNA", at positions 524 to 776 of the family's 1533-position model. The record is from RNAcentral.
UACGGGGGAGCAAGCGUUGUUCGGAUUACUGGGCGUAAAGGGCGCGUAGGCGGUCGUGACAAGUCACUUGUGAAAUCUCCGGGCUUAACUCGGAACGGUCAAGUGAUACUGUCGGACUAGAGUACAGAAGGGGCAACUGGAAUUCUCGGUGUAGCGGUGAAAUGCGUAGAUAUCGAGAGGAACACCUGCGGCGAAGGCGGGUUGCUGGGCUGAUACUGACGCUGAGGCGCGAAAGCGUGGGGAGCGAACAGG